GGGCCGCCGCGGACCGGGGAAGCCCCGACCGGGCCUGCCCAGCCGCGGGGCCGCUGGAAGCCGCGGGGGCGGGAGAGGCGCGGAGAGGCCGCAGCCCGUGGGGGGCGGGAACCGGACGCGCGCAGCCGCUGCUCUCUCCCCGCUCCCCGGCGCCUCACGUUUGAAAAAUUCAGCCAACCUCACAGUUUUGUUUCUGUGGGGGAAGGAACACGCGGAUUUUGUAGGGAAACGUAGCCUUAUCUGUAUAUAAUAUUCCGAGGUUCGUCUUUUAAGGGCAGAUUUGGGAGACUGAUGAUACUGGAAACAGUGAGGGAAAGGAUCUGAAGGGAUUCUGCUAAAUUCCUAGGACUGGUAAAAGAACUUUGCCUGGUCAGUAGCCAGGACUAGUGUCAGGAUAUUAUCAUGCAGACACACCCUUAACUUUCUGUAUACCGUCAGGCACUGCCACACUCAGAAUCACUUCAUGGUCCCAUAUAGGUGCUGCAGCUCCAGUUUCCACUUUGGGGGAAAGUAGCAGGAGGAAGCAAGGGGGAAAUGGUCUACCUCUUCCCUUUUAACAAAUUCUUUCUGAAAGUUCCACACUUCUGCUUACAUUUCA
Ailuropoda melanoleuca (giant panda) is the source of this 598-nucleotide long non-coding RNA. RefSeq lists it as uncharacterized. The transcript has 3 exons. NCBI's taxonomy places the organism in Eukaryota, Metazoa, Chordata, Mammalia, Carnivora, Ursidae. The record is from RefSeq and is a predicted model, not a curated record.